UGCGCCGGAGGGUCCGUCGCGAGUCGGCUUUGUCCGACGUGAGGAAAGUCCGGGCAACACAGAGCACCAUAUUUCCUAACGGGAAGCUGUCGGCAACGGCAGAGUAAUGUGACAGAAAAUUACCGCCCCACGUCCUUUCGGCGUGGGGUAAGGGUGAAAAGGCGAGGCAAGAGCUCACCGGGCGCGAUAGUGAUAUUGCGCGCCGCACAUCUUAUGGGUUGCAAGGUCAAGUAUACCGGCAUUUAAGGGUUGCUCGCCCAUUGCCGGGGGGUAGACUGCUAAAGUCGGCUGGCGACAGCCGAUUCAGAUAAAUGACGGACGGAGCGACGCAACUCUUAACCGAAAGUGCGUACUCUACAUAACCCGGCUUACACUCCGACGUAGCUU
RNAcentral lists this RNase P RNA (387 nucleotides) under Muribaculaceae bacterium. RNAcentral describes it as "RNase P RNA component class A". It matches the Rfam family "Bacterial RNase P class A". From Rfam's summary of the family: Ribonuclease P (RNase P) is a ubiquitous endoribonuclease, found in archaea, bacteria and eukarya as well as chloroplasts and mitochondria. Its best characterised activity is the generation of mature 5'-ends of tRNAs by cleaving the 5'-leader elements of precursor-tRNAs. The record is from RNAcentral. Lineage: Bacteria; Pseudomonadati; Bacteroidota; Bacteroidia; Bacteroidales; Muribaculaceae.